Molecule: long non-coding RNA, 971 nt
Filed under: Homo sapiens (human)
Lineage: Eukaryota; Metazoa; Chordata; Mammalia; Primates; Hominidae
Description: HSALNT0362670
Source: RNAcentral
GCUUGGCUCAGAACUUCUCCUUGCUGCUUCCGUGUAAAGAAGGAUGUGUUUGCUUCUCCUUCCACCAUGAUUGUAAGUUUCCUGAGGCCUCCCCAGCCAUGCUCAACUGCUGUUCUGAUCAUGAUCAAGCCCAAGACAGAGCGAUGGGCGUGGCUUCCCCAAAGGUGUUUAUGAAUCCAAAAUCUGAGAGAGAGAAGACAAGAUGAAGUCACAGUCUAGUCAUUGCCUCAACACCAGUCAUUCCUACUCCCACCCAGACAACAUCAUCUCCACUCCCAAGCCCGAAAUGCUCCCUGCCAUGCCUUCGAGGCUGAGGUCUGGGAAGAAAACUCUAAGAAGAGAGAAAAGGGCACCAGUAUGGAGACCCUAGAAUAUAAAAAGCAGACUUAGCCUGUCUAACCUGUUCCUUGACUUGGCCAUGAUCCCAGGAAUGGAGGAAGGAUCUUCCUUUUCUUCCUCCUCCUGGAGAGGCAUCAGAGCAUGGGCCCUGGCUCUGUUACUCCCUGGCUGGGGAAGUUACUUACCUACUCCGUGUCUCAGUUUUACUUAUCUCUAAAAGGGGUAGAGUAACAGCACUCACUGGAGUGGAGUGUGGUUAUGCCUCCCAGCCUCUCCUUCAGAACUAGGUUACUUAUUCCCUCAGCUGCAAGGAGUGUUAGCUGCGGACUGCUCACAACGGAGUCUCUUCUAGGGAUUGCCCUCAACCGAAGGAAGCUGCAUUGCCCAAGAUGAGAUCCCCUCGCUGGGGCAUCCUGCAUCCAAUGACAAGUCAGUGGGGCGUACGAAGGCCUGGCUUCCUCAUCUCGAUUGGACAUCUCCAAAGGGCCAUCCCAGUUUCUGAUCUCCCCGUAGAAUCUCCUGAAGCCUCUGUUGUGACUGCAUCAGAGCCCAACCUCUCUCUCUACCCAAUCCAGUCUCCUUUCCUUCUCACAGGUGUUGUUCCCAAAACUCAGUAAACUGCCUACACGCAA